RNAcentral lists this ribosomal RNA (253 nucleotides) under uncultured bacterium. Its description in RNAcentral is "partial 16S ribosomal RNA". It matches the Rfam family "Bacterial small subunit ribosomal RNA", at positions 524 to 776 of the family's 1533-position model. The record is from RNAcentral.
UACGUAGGGGGCGAGCGUUGUCCGGAUUUAUUGGGCGUAAAGAGCGUGUAGGCGGCCAGGUAGGUCUGCUGUGAAAACUCGAGGCUCAACCUCGAGACGUCGGCGGAAACCAUCUGGCUAGAGUCCGGAAGAGGAGAGUGGAAUUCCUGGUGUAGCGGUGAAAUGCGUAGAUAUCGGGAGGAAUACCAGUGGCGAAGGCGACUACCUGGCCUGUUCUUGACGCUGAGGCGCGAAAGCUAGGGGAGCAAACGGG